Molecule: long non-coding RNA, 106 nt
Organism: Etheostoma spectabile (orangethroat darter)
Lineage: Eukaryota; Metazoa; Chordata; Actinopteri; Perciformes; Percidae
Exons: 3
Source: RefSeq, a predicted model, not a curated record
AUGAUUUUCAGUGUAGUAUGUAGUCUGGAACUGCUCCAUAGACAAUGAAUUGGGAAAGACGUUAUAGAUGACACAGAGCACCCAGGGGAAUGUUCACUGAGUACAG